CCCACUGGGAUUAUAGGCACGAACCACCAUGCUAUAUGGAACUUUUGAAUUGGGGUUUAGAAGAAAAUGCAGUAAGUUCUGAGAGACUGAGGAUGAUGCUUGGCCAAAGGGCUGGUUUGAACAUGAAAUGUAUCUCUAUUAAUGCCCGUGUGAGGGCCCAGAGGUGCCUUGGCCCUGGAGUCAGGAGAUGUGGGUCCCAGGCAGUGCUCUGACAUGCCCUAGCUGAGCAGAGCUGCUCUCUGGGAGCCAGUUUUCUGCUUGGUAAAAUUAGGACAAUAUGCUCUAUCUUUCGGGUUGGGGAGGGUGGUGCGAGGAGCAGAAAUAAUGCGUGGAAAGCAAUCUGCACCGUGCCUUGCAGGAGAGGAAGCUGCUGUUCCUGUUUGCAUGUGCCAGGCCAGUUACUGUAGAGAUGUACGCUUCAUUAAAACACCGUCAUCUUCACCAGGCUGCAGAGAUACCAGGGUUACAGCACAGCUGAGAUGAGGAGCUGACUGAUCCUGUUGGGAGGACCUGGAGAUGAUUCAUGCCCUCCAAAGCAACUCCCCGAGCAUCUUCAAAGCCGGAGGCCUGGAAGUGAUGAGAGGCCAACAUGCGCUCUAAUGAGAUACAGCCCUGGGUUCCACUUCAUCUCCUUGAGACUCCAGCUUUUGCUUGCUCUCUCCAUGUCCACCUUCCCUUCCUGACUGCCAGCGGCAGCCGGCAGAUCAUAUUUCCAUGCGGCAGCUCAAUGCACUCAGCCAAUGCAUAAAGGAAGCCAGUGGAAGGUUAUCAAUAAAUAAUGGAUCAAACAGGGAGAGUGUGAAAGAUGAAUACUGGAUGUUUUCCAGGACUUUGCACAGUCAUUCAUAUGCAUAUAUACCUUGCAAAUUUCCAAGAAGAAAAUAUAGCAUGUGGCAUGUCUCAAACUUGAUUGUUCUAUAGAAAAUGUUAUGAGCUCAACUGUGUCUCCCUAAAACUCACAUAUUGAAGCUCUAACCCCCAGUACCUUAGAAUGUGAUGGUAUUUGAAGAUAAGCCUUUUAAAAUGGGAAUUAAGGUAAAAGGGGGUCAGGAAAGUGGGCCCUAAUCCAGUUUGACUGGUGUCCUUAUAAGAAGAGGAGGCUAGGACACAGACACAGACACUACACGUGUGCACACACAGACGAAUGACCAUGUGAACACACAGCAAGAAAGCAGCCACCUGCAAGCUGCCGGGCGUGGUGGCUCACACCUGUAAUCCCAGCACUUUGGGAGGCCGAAGCAGGUGGAUCACGAAGUCCUGAGUUUGAGAUCAGCCUGAUCAACAUGGUGAAACCCCAUCUCUACUAAA
This 1308-nucleotide long non-coding RNA is filed under the name Homo sapiens (human). Its description in RNAcentral is "HSALNT0081918". Lineage: Eukaryota; Metazoa; Chordata; Mammalia; Primates; Hominidae. The record is from RNAcentral.